GAAGCUACUAAGAGCUUACGGUGAAUGCCUUGGCGUCAAGUGCCGAUGAAGGACGUGGGACACUGCGAUAAGCCUCGGGAAGCUGUGAACAAGCGAUAUAUCCGGGGAUCUCCGAAUUGGGAAACCAGCUGAUGCGAACCAUCAGCAUCGUGUGAUGAAUACAUAGUCACAUGAAGGGAACCUAGGGAACUGAAACAUCUAAGUACCUAGAGGAAAAGAGACCAUUCCCCAAGUAGUGGCGAGCGAACGGGGAACAGCCCAAACCGAACCAGCAUGCUGGUUCGGGGUUGUAGGGUCCAGCAUAUGAGAGUUACAAAGUGAGACGUUAGCAGAAUUGGUGUGGAAAAGCCAACCACAGAAGGUGACAGUCCUGUACGCGAAAACGUCGAACCUCUCGCUGGAUACCUGAGUACUACCGGGCACGCUAAUCCGGUAGGAAUCUGGGGAGUCCACUCUCCAAGGCUAAAUACGCUUGACGACCGAUAGUGAACAAGUACCGUGAGGGAAAGGUGAAAAGUACCCCUGUUAGGGGAGUGAAAAGAACCUGAAACCGUAAGCUUACAAGCAGUCGAAGGGCUAAUGGCGGGUUGGUGCUAUAGCGAAAGCUUGUGCGCACCGCUAUGCCUGACGGCGUGCCUCUUGGAGAAUGAGUCUGCGAGUUAAUCUUUGUGGCAAGGUUAAGGGAGUGACACCCGAAGCCGCAGCGAAAGCGAGUCUGAAUAGGGCGUGCAGUCGCAAGGAUUAGACACGAAACCAGGUGAGCUAACCAUGGCCAGGUUGAAGCGAGUUUAACCACUCGUGGAGGACCGAACCUACUAAUAUUGCAAAAUUAGGGGAUGAGCUGUGGUUAGGGGUGAUAUGCCAAACGAACUUGGAGAUAGCUUGUUCUCCCCGAAAUAGCUUUAGGGCUAGCGUUAUGCGUUUAGUAACGGAGGUAGAGCACUGAAUGGGCUAGGGGGCUUAUUGCUUACCGAACCUAAUCAAACUCCGAAUGCCGUUACUCCAAGCAUAGCAGUCGGACUCCGGGAGAUGAGUUUCGGGGUCGAAAGGGAAACAGCCCAGACCAUCGGCUAAGGUCCCCAAAUUUAAGCUAAGUGGGAAACGAGGUGAGGUUACUGAAACAACCAGGAGGUUGGCUUAGAAGCAGCCAUCCUUUAAAAAGUGCGUAACAGCUUACUGGUCGAGUGAUCUUGCGCGGAAAAUUUAACGGGGCUAAGCUUAAUACCGAAGCCAUGGAAACGUGCGGAAGCACGUUUGGUAGGGGAGCGUUCUGUCAGCUGGGAAGGUCGACCGUAAGGAUGGCUGGAGCGGACAGAAGUGAGAAUGCAGACAUGAGUAGCGUAAAACACGUGAGAACCGUGUUCGCCGUAUAUCUAAGGUUUCCGACGCCAGGUCAAUCCGCGUCGGGUUAGUCAGGGCCUUAGCUGAGGCCGAAAGGCGUAAGCGAUGGAUAUCCGGUCAACAUUCCGGAACCACUUAAGAUGAGUGAUGGAGGGACGCAACGAGGUAGGCCAGCCUGUGAUUGGUUGAACAGGUGUGCCUUAUGUCAGCCGUUGAGGUUUGUAGGCAAAUCCGCAGACCGAGGUGAGAUAAGGCAGCGAGCCCCUGAGGCGUAAGUGAGUUGAGCCUUGUUGCCAAGAAAAGCUUCUAAACGUUGAUUCUUAAGUGCCUGUACCGCAAUCCGACACAGGUAGAUGGGUAGAAUAUACCAAGGCGAACGGGAGAACCUUCGUUAAGGAACUAGGCAAUUUAGCCUCGUAACUUCGGGAUAAGAGGUGUCUUCUGGCGUAAGUGAAUAAUGAGCGCUGGAAGAUCGCAGUGAAAUGGUUCUAGGGACUGGUUAACAAAACCACAGGUCUCUGCAAAGCCGUAAGGCGAUGUAUAGGGGCUGACACCUGCCCAGUGCCGGAAGGUUAAAGGGAGAGGUUAGUUCCCCUUCGGGGGAACGAAGCUUUGAACUGAAGCCCCGGUGAACGGCGGCCGUAACUAUAACGGUCCUAAGGUAGCGAAAUUCCUUGUCGGGUAAGUUCCGACCCGCACGAAAGGUGUAACAACUAGAACAGUGUCUCGACGAAGGACCCGGCGAAAUUGAAAUGGCUGUGAAGAUGCGGCCUACCCGCAGUAGGACAAAAAGACCCCGUGGAGCUUUACUGCAACUUGGCAUUGAGUUUGGAUUUCAUUUGUGUAGGAUAGGUGGGAGGCUAUGAAACUAGGGCGCCAGCCUUGGUGGAGCCGCCGGUGAAAUACCACCCUGAUGAACUCUAGACCCUAACCUUUAUCCGUAAUCCGGAUAAGGGACCGUGCCAGGUGGGCAGUUUGACUGGGGCGGUCGCCUCCUAAAGAGUAACGGAGGCGCCCAAAGGUUCCCUCAGGCUGAAUGGAAACCAGCCGCAGAGUGUAAAGGCAUAAGGGAGCUUGACUGCGAGACAAACAAGUCGAGCAGAGACGAAAGUCGGGCUUAGUGAUCCCACGGUUCCGUGUGGAAGGGCCGUGGCUCAUCGGAUAAAAGCUACCCCGGGGAUAACAGGCUAGUCAGGUCCAAGAGUCCAUAUCGACGACCUGGCUCGGCACCUCGAUGUCGGCUCAUCGCAUCCUGGGGCUGGAUAAGGUCCCAAGGGUCGGGCUGUUCGCCCGUUAAAGCGGUACGCGAGCUGGGUUCAGACCGUCGUGAGACAGGUCGGUCUCUAUCCACUGUGGGCGUAAGAGAUUUGAGAGGAGCUGCUCCUAGUACGAGAGGACCGGAGUGGACAGACCUCUGGUGUGCCAGCUGUCGUGCCAACGGCAUUGCUGGGUAGCUACGUCUGGCAGAGAUAACCGCUGAAAGCAUCUAAGCGGGAAACUUGCCUCAAGAUUAGAUCUCUAUAAUCCCGUAAAGGGAGUAAGAUCGCAGGUAGACUACCUGCUUGAUAGGCAGUAUGUGUAAGCGCAGUAAUGCGUUGAGCUAAACUGUACUAAUGAUCGAGAGCUUCCAACG
RNAcentral lists this ribosomal RNA (2974 nucleotides) under activated sludge metagenome. RNAcentral's name for it is "bacterial LSU rRNA". It matches the Rfam family "Bacterial large subunit ribosomal RNA". The record is from RNAcentral.